This 422-nucleotide ribosomal RNA is filed under the name uncultured bacterium. Its description in RNAcentral is "bacterial SSU rRNA". It matches the Rfam family "Bacterial small subunit ribosomal RNA", at positions 355 to 774 of the family's 1533-position model. The record is from RNAcentral.
UAGGGAAUAUUGGGCAAUGGAUGCAAGUCUGACCCAGCCAUGCCGCGUGCCGGAUGAAGGCCCUCAGGGUUGUAAACGGCUUUUAUUCGGGAAGAAGAGCAGGGAUGCGUCCUUGUGUGACGGUACCGAAUGAAUAAGCACCGGCUAACUCCGUGCCAGCAGCCGCGGUAAUACGGAGGGUGCGAGCGUUGUCCGGAUUUAUUGGGUUUAAAGGGUGCGUAGGUGGCUUAAUAAGUCAGUGGUGAAAUACAGCCGCUCAACGGUUGAGGUGCCAUUGAUACUGUUAAGCUUGAAACAAGUGGAGGCUGCCGGAAUGGAUGGUGUAGCGGUGAAAUGCAUAGAUAUCAUCCAGAACACCGAUUGCGAAGGCAGGUGGCUACGUUUGAUUUGACACUGAGGCACGAAAGCAUGGGGAGCAAACA